This 799-nucleotide ribosomal RNA is filed under the name Abortiporus biennis. RNAcentral describes it as "eukaryotic LSU rRNA". The stretch from base 277 to 430 matches the Rfam family "5.8S ribosomal RNA". Lineage: Eukaryota; Fungi; Basidiomycota; Agaricomycetes; Polyporales; Podoscyphaceae. The record is from RNAcentral.
CGUAGGUGAACCUGCGGAAGGAUCAUUACUGAAUUUUUAAUGCCUUGGUUGUUGCUGGCCUUUUAGGCAUGUGCACGCCUCGGUUAUUUCCAAAUUCUUUACACCUCUGUGCACUUUACAUGGAUUUGUAUAUUCUCUUAUUGAUGGAUGUUCGAGCUUGCGUUUAACACCGCGAGUUUGACGAAAGUCAAUUGGAGAUUUAAAAUCUGUGGUCUACACAUUUAUACGCUUCAGUUUAAAGAAUGUAAUACUCGCGUUUAACGCAAUUAAUAAUACAACUUUCAGCAACGGAUCUCUUGGCUCUCGCAUCGAUGAAGAACGCAGCGAAAUGCGAUAAGUAAUGUGAAUUGCAGAAUUCAGUGAAUCAUCGAAUCUUUGAACGCACCUUGCGCUCCUUGGUAUUCCGAGGAGCAUGCCUGUUUGAGUGUCAUGGUAUUCUCAAUUCUCUCAACUUUUGUUGUCAGAAUUGGACUUGGAGGUAUGCCGGUGUUCUAACCAACAUCAGCUCCUCUGAAAUGUAUUAGUGUGAAUGUGUUGCACAUUUUUCAGUGUGAUAAUUAUCUGCGCUGUAGAUGUUGCAACAAAAUUUAUAGUUCAUGCUUCUAACCGUCUGUUUACUCAGACAAACUUAUAUACUUUGAAAUCUGACCUCAAAUCAGGUAGGACUACCCGCUGAACUUAAGCAUAUCAAUAAGCGGAGGAAAAGAAACUAACAAGGAUUCCCCUAGUAACUGCGAGUGAAGCGGGAAAAGCUCAAAUUUAAAAUCUGGCAGUCUUUGGCUGUCCGAGUUGUAGUCUG